UGGCCAAUGUGUGGCAGCCAAGCCAGAGU
This 29-nucleotide non-coding RNA is filed under the name Rattus norvegicus (Norway rat). Lineage: Eukaryota; Metazoa; Chordata; Mammalia; Rodentia; Muridae. The record is from RNAcentral.